AGCUCCAAUAGCGUAUAUUUAAGUUGUUGCAGUUAAAAAGCUCGUAGUUGGAUCUUGGGUCGUAAAGGUCGGUCCGCCUACUCGGUGUGCACCUGCCCUUCCGUCCCUUUUGUCGGCGGCGUGCUCCUGGCCUUAACUGGCUGGGUCGCGGCUCCGGCGCUGUUACUUUGAAAAAAUUAGAGUGCUCAAAGCAAGCUUAUGCUCUGAAUACAUUAGCAUGGAAUAACGUGAUAGGAGUCUGGUCCUAUUGUGUUGGCCUUCGGGACCGGAGUAAUGAUUAAUAGGGACUGUCGGGGGCAUUCGUAUUUCAUUGUCAGAGGUGAAAUUCUUGGAUUUAUGAAAGACGGACCACUGCGAAAGCAUUUGCCAAGGAUGUUUUCAUUAAUCAAGAACGAAAGUA
RNAcentral lists this ribosomal RNA (400 nucleotides) under phytoplankton environmental sample. RNAcentral's name for it is "partial small subunit ribosomal RNA". It matches the Rfam family "Eukaryotic small subunit ribosomal RNA", at positions 587 to 991 of the family's 1831-position model. The record is from RNAcentral.